UACGUAGGGGGCAAGCGUUGUCCGGAUUUAUUGGGCGUAAAGAGCGUGUAGGCGGCUUUACAGGUCCGUUGUGAAAACUCGAGGCUCAACCUCGAGACGCCGGUGGAAACCGUAAGGCUAGAGUCCGGAAGAGGAGAGUGGAAUUCCUGGUGUAGCGGUGAAAUGCGCAGAUAUCAGGAGGAACACCCGUGGCGAAAGCGGCUCUCUGGGACGGUACUGACGCUGAGACGCGAAAGCUAGGGGAGCAAACGGG
RNAcentral lists this ribosomal RNA (253 nucleotides) under uncultured bacterium. Its description in RNAcentral is "partial 16S ribosomal RNA". It matches the Rfam family "Bacterial small subunit ribosomal RNA", at positions 524 to 776 of the family's 1533-position model. The record is from RNAcentral.